CCUUACCUACCCUUGACAUGUCCGGAAUCCCGAAGAGAUUGGGAGUGCUCGCAAGAGAGCCGGAACACAGGUGCUGCAUGGCUGCGUCAGCUCGUGUCGUGAGAUGUUGGGUUAAGUCCCGCAACGAGCGCAACCCUUGUCACUAGUUGCCAUCAUUUAGUUGGGCACUCUAGUGAGACUGCCGGUGACAAACCGGAGAAGCGGGGAUGACGUCAAGUCCUCAUGGCCCUUAUGGGUAGGGCUUCACACGUCAUACAAUGGUCGGUACAGAGGGUUGCCAAGCCGCGAGGUGGAGCCAAUCCCUUAAAGCCGAUCGUAGUCCGGAUUGGAGUCUGCAACUCGACUCCAUGAAGUCGGAAUCGCUAGUAAUCGCAGAUCAGCAUGCUGCGGUCGAAUACGUUCCGGGCCUU
Molecule: ribosomal RNA, 410 nt
Filed under: uncultured Zoogloea sp.
Lineage: Bacteria; Pseudomonadati; Pseudomonadota; Betaproteobacteria; Rhodocyclales; Zoogloeaceae
Description: bacterial SSU rRNA
Rfam family: Bacterial small subunit ribosomal RNA
Source: RNAcentral